GGCCUCGUAGCUCAGUUGGCAGAGCGUUGGACUAGUAUCCCAAAGGUCGCGGGUUCGAUUCCCACCAUGGUCA
This is a non-coding RNA of Paramuricea clavata, 73 nucleotides long. Lineage: Eukaryota; Metazoa; Cnidaria; Anthozoa; Malacalcyonacea; Plexauridae. The record is from the annotation of a GenBank genome assembly.